Homo sapiens (human) is the source of this 3523-nucleotide RNA transcript. It is a transcript of the gene named TBC1 domain family member 22B, with no coding region annotated. The transcript has 13 exons. Lineage: Eukaryota; Metazoa; Chordata; Mammalia; Primates; Hominidae. The record is from RefSeq and is marked validated.
ACAUCCAAGAUGGCGUCCCCAGGAGCUGGGAGCGGGUGACCGGCGGCGGGGAAGCGGCCUGGGUUGGCCCUCAGAUUGCGGGGUCUGGGGGCAUCUCGCCGGGCAAACCCUUGGCCCGCCUACAAGGACUUCCCCCGGCCAGAGCAAUGGCCGCUGAGAACAGCAAGCAGUUUUGGAAGAGGAGCGCUAAGCUGCCGGGGAGCAUUCAGCCUGUAUAUGGAGCACAGCAUCCUCCUCUUGACCCACGGCUCACCAAAAAUUUCAUUAAAGAACGAUCAAAAGUCAACACAGUUCCUCUGAAGAAUAAGAAGGCCUCCAGUUUUCAUGAGUUUGCACGGAAUACCAGUGAUGCUUGGGACAUUGGCGAUGAUGAGGAAGAGGACUUUUCCUCACCUUCUUUCCAAACUCUGAACUCAAAAGUUGCUUUGGCAACUGCAGCCCAAGUUCUAGAAAACCACAGCAAGCUGAGAGUAAAACCAGAACGGUCCCAGUCAACGACAUCGGACGUCCCUGCCAACUACAAGGUCAUAAAGUCCAGCAGUGAUGCCCAGCUGUCCAGAAACUCUAGUGAUACAUGCCUGAGGAACCCACUCCACAAACAGCAAUCACUCCCUCUCCGGCCCAUCAUCCCCCUCGUUGCCCGGAUCUCGGAUCAGAACGCUUCUGGGGCCCCCCCAAUGACUGUCCGGGAGAAAACCCGCCUAGAAAAAUUCCGUCAACUUCUCUCCAGCCAGAACACUGACUUAGAUGAACUGAGGAAGUGUAGCUGGCCAGGGGUUCCCAGGGAGGUUCGACCUAUAACCUGGAGACUCCUGUCGGUGAGUUCUACCCACUGUGUAGAGAAAUGUGAGCCUCACACAGCCCUUCUUGCCUGAUGAGGGCUAUCUCCCAGCAAACACUGAGAGGAGGAAGUUGACCCUGCAGCGGAAGCGGGAGGAAUAUUUUGGCUUCAUUGAACAGUAUUAUGACUCUCGAAACGAGGAACAUCACCAGGAUACCUACAGACAGAUUCACAUUGACAUUCCAAGGACGAAUCCUCUCAUUCCGUUGUUCCAGCAACCACUUGUACAGGAGAUCUUUGAAAGAAUUCUAUUUAUUUGGGCCAUCCGCCACCCUGCCAGUGGGUAUGUCCAGGGAAUUAAUGACCUGGUCACUCCAUUCUUUGUCGUCUUCCUCUCAGAAUAUGUGGAAGAGGAUGUGGAGAACUUUGACGUGACCAACUUGUCUCAAGACAUGCUGCGAAGCAUUGAGGCUGACAGCUUUUGGUGCAUGAGCAAGCUGCUGGAUGGAAUCCAGGAUAACUACACCUUUGCACAACCAGGAAUCCAGAAGAAGGUGAAGGCACUGGAAGAGCUUGUCAGCCGGAUUGAUGAGCAGGUACAUAAUCACUUCAGGAGGUACGAGGUAGAAUACCUGCAGUUUGCCUUCCGCUGGAUGAACAACCUGCUUAUGCGGGAGCUUCCUCUUCGCUGCACCAUCCGCCUGUGGGACACAUAUCAGUCUGAACCAGAAGGGUUCUCCCACUUUCAUCUCUACGUGUGUGCAGCCUUCUUGAUCAAGUGGAGGAAAGAGAUCUUGGAUGAGGAGGAUUUUCAGGGUCUCCUCAUGCUGCUACAGAACCUACCUACAAUACACUGGGGCAACGAAGAAAUUGGGCUGCUUCUCGCCGAGGCAUACAGACUCAAGUACAUGUUUGCCGAUGCCCCAAAUCACUACCGCCGAUAGGUGCUGUCUCCUCCGGGGACCCAGACUGCCUUCAUCUCUGAUGGCAGUCUGAUCACUGUGGCCACUGUGCGAGCCGUGGACCCCGGCCAGGAACCACUCCUGUUGUACAAAGCUCACACCCACCGCCCAGGUCUUAACUUUCUGGCAUCCACCACUCCAUGUCUCUGGAUGUGUCACUUGGACCACUGUCAGUAUUCCAUGCCGCGUGGAUGGGCCCAGUUCUGGGAGAGGACAGAAAAGGUGGUACAGGGUUGUCUGCCCCUUUAAAAGAAACUGGACAAAGAAGGGGAAGGCUCAGGGUCUCACCUCACAUUGUCCCUACAAGGACAGGCCCCAACUGAUAACCGUUGCUUUUUUUUUUUUGUGAACAUAGUUUGAUUUGAUCACAGGUCAAAAACGCCUUAUAUUUUCGAAAGACUCCUGGCCCCUCUUCCCUCUUCCUGGUUUCCUAGCCGUUCCCCUUCUGCCCCAGUCUGAGCCAGUGAGGGGUAGCUUUUUAAAACCAUUAUUCUAGAUGGAGGAGGCACUGAUGCUUGUAACUCUGGAAAGAGGCCUACACCCAAGGGCUAGGAAUUUUAUUUUUCCUUUUCUCACCAGGUGUCUGCAUGUGUGUGUGGGUGUGAAUGUGUAUACAUGCCCAUCAGCAUUUAGUCACAUGUCUGAAUUUCUGUGUCCAGACGAGCCCCAUCAAACUAGUUGGGAAGGGCCCCAGUGACCAAGUGUAUAAGCAUCCCUUGAAGAGGGAUUGGGGCAGGGGAGGCAGAAGGGGCUCUCCAGACCCCUUUUCCAUGAUGACCCACUCCAAGAUAUUAUGUGUAAAUUGUGUUAUUAUGUAUAUGGGUAAAGAUGUACAAAUAUAUGUCCUCUUUGUAGCAGAUAUGAUUUUAUAUUUAUAAUGUGCAUCAACAUGUGAAAGCAAUCUAGGUCACUAGCACAGAGGAAGUUGCCAGGAAGGUGGCUUCAGCACCUCCAGGUUGGUUCUGGGUGUCCUGCUGUGAGGGGUAGAACGGGAGGCUGCUGAAGUGAGUAGCUGAGCAGCUGGAGCCAUCCCAAGCAUCAGUGUCUCAGAGUCCUCCUCGCCCCUUUCUUCACCCCGCCCCCCAACCCCCAGACUUUCCUGGAGCAUCUGCCCUUUGCUCCUAGCAGCCUCCCCAGGAAGGGACUGCAGAGGCGGGCAAGCCCUCUCUAUGUGUUUUUAUCCCCACCUUCCCCGGAAUCUGGGGAGGGCUUUUGUUUUUACGUUUUCAAGUUCAGCAUUGUAUUCGGACAGAAGCUGUGACUGAAGACUCAGUGCCAAGGAAAGGGGCUUCUUGUGUGUCCCUCGGGUUUGGGGCUCUUCUCAGAGAGCAGCACUCCAUAUCCCUUACUGUCACCUUCACUCCCCACACAGCUCAUGAGAUGUGUGACCCCUGUUUGAGUUUUGGUAUUUGGUAGUGGAGGGUGGGGGGAUGGGGGCCAGCAGCUGUCAUCCUCCUGGGAAGCCGAGCAGUGUCCCUGGUGGGUAACACCCUCAAGUCUCUUUGCCAGUGAGGCCCCACCACAUCGGUGUGAGUUAGGUUUCUCAUCUGGAGCUGUUUCUCAGGCAUUCUUCCCAACCCUCUUCCUUUUCCCCUUCGGUGUGCCUCAGUGGUCUCCUUCAUAGAGUGAGAGGGCUUGAGACCCUCCCUCAACCGGACUAAUUAAAGAAAGACACUUGUGUUCCCAAGUGGUGGUUUUAUUUUUUUAGUUUUUAUGUUUGUAUGGGAAAUUGUGGAUAAAGUGAAAAGAAUUGUAAAUAAAUGGUGUAUUUCCUCCUCCA